This 200-nucleotide long non-coding RNA is filed under the name Zostera marina. RNAcentral describes it as "long non-coding RNA (ZMAR_LNC004025)". The record is from RNAcentral. Lineage: Eukaryota; Viridiplantae; Streptophyta; Magnoliopsida; Alismatales; Zosteraceae.
GACGAUCGUACCUUGCGCGCGGAAAGCACGCGAGGUGCCAGCAGAACCCGAGGUGUCAGGGUAGGUGACGGGAGGAAGUUCCGCGAUAAUGUCGGAGCGGCGAAUCUGGGAGAGGCGACGGUGGACGUCGAUCAACACGGCAUUGAGGCGCUGAGUCUCGGCCACGGCGACACUAUUGGGAACACCAGUAGGCGACAGCA